AAUGGAUCGAUGAUGUUUUUUUGAAACUGCGUUAUCUAUCUGUAACUUCCUAAAUGGAAUUGAAGAUAAUGAUAAAAUUCUGAGAUCCAAU
Corylus avellana is the source of this 91-nucleotide small nucleolar RNA. RefSeq annotates it as small nucleolar RNA snoR27. The record is from RefSeq and is a predicted model, not a curated record. Lineage: Eukaryota; Viridiplantae; Streptophyta; Magnoliopsida; Fagales; Betulaceae.